AAGGAUCAUUAUUGAAUAAAUCUGGUAGGUUGUUGCUGGUUCCUUGGAGCAUGUGCACACCUACUGCUUUUAUAUUUCCACCUGUGCACUUUUUGUAGACUUGAAAAUGUCUCAAGGAAACUUGGUUUGAGGACUGUUGGCUUCACAUGAAGUCGACUUUCCUUGCAUUUCCGGUCUACGUUUUCAUAUACUCUUAUAAUGUUAUAGAAUGUCUAUUUACUGGCUUUAUGCCUUUAAACUUUAUACAACUUUCAACAACGGAUCUCUUGGCUCUC
This 275-nucleotide unclassified non-coding RNA is filed under the name uncultured fungus. Its description in RNAcentral is "partial contains 18S rRNA, ITS1, 5.8S rRNA, ITS2 and 28S rRNA". The record is from RNAcentral. Lineage: Eukaryota; Fungi.